GAUGAAGAACGUAGUGAAAUGCGAUAAGUAGUGUGAAUUGCAGAAUUCAGUGAAUCAUCGAAUCUUUGAACGCACAUUGCGCCCCUUGGUAUUCCAUGGGGCAUGCCUGUUCGAGCGUCAUUUGUACCUUCAAGCUUUGCUUGGUGUUGGGUGUUUGUCUCGCCUUUGCGUGUAGACUCGCCUUAAAAUAAUUGGCAGCCGGCGUAUUGAUUUCGGAGCGCAGUACAUCUCGCGCUUUGCACUCAUAACGACAGCGUCCAAAAGUACAUUUUACACUCUUGACCUCGGAUCAGGUAGGGAUACCCGCUGAACUUAAGCAUAUCAAUAGCGGAGGA
Molecule: unclassified non-coding RNA, 335 nt
Filed under: soil metagenome
Description: partial contains 5.8S ribosomal RNA, internal transcribed spacer 2, and large subunit ribosomal RNA
Rfam family: 5.8S ribosomal RNA (bases 1-120)
Source: RNAcentral